Molecule: non-coding RNA, 108 nt
Organism: Candidatus Kaiserbacteria bacterium
Lineage: Bacteria; Candidatus Kaiseribacteriota
Source: Rfam
GUUGGUGCUUUAGCGGAGGGGGUACACCCGUUCUCAUUCCGAACACGGCAGUUAAGCUCUCCAUCGCCGAUGGUACUCCGCAAGGGGAAGAGUAGGUAGGCGCCAACU